GAUGAACGCUGACAGAAUGCUUAACACAUGCAAGUCUACUUGAACUUCGGUUUGGGUGGCGGACGGGUGAGUAACGCGUAAAGAACUUGCCUCACAGUUAGGGACAACAUUUGGAAACGAAUGCUAAUACCUGAUAUUAUGUUUUUAGGGCAUCCUAAAAUUAUGAAAGCUAUAUGCGCUGUGAGAGAGCUUUGCGUCCCAUUAGCUAGUUGGAGAGGUAACGGCUCACCAAGGCGAUGAUGGGUAGCCGGCCUGAGAGGGUGAACGGCCACAAGGGGACUGAGACACGGCCCUUACUCCUACGGGAGGCAGCAGUGGGGAAUAUUGGACAAUGGACCAAAAGUCUGAUCCAGCAAUUCUGUGUGCACGAUGACGUUUUUCGGAAUGUAAAGUGCUUUCAGUUGGGAAGAAAAAAAUGACGGUACCAACAGAAGAAGUGACGGCUAAAUACGUG
Molecule: ribosomal RNA, 454 nt
Filed under: uncultured bacterium
Lineage: Bacteria
Description: partial 16S ribosomal RNA
Rfam family: Bacterial small subunit ribosomal RNA
Source: RNAcentral